Molecule: ribosomal RNA, 485 nt
Filed under: uncultured microorganism
Description: bacterial SSU rRNA
Rfam family: Bacterial small subunit ribosomal RNA
Source: RNAcentral
GAGUUUGAUCAUGGCUCAGGAUGAACGCUGGCGGCGUGCCUAACACAUGCAAGUCGAACGGAGUUCUUAAGGAAUGCGGCUUCGGCCAAAUGACUUUUGAACUUAGUGGCGGACGGGUGAGUAACGCGUGAGCAACCUGCCUUUCAGAGGGGGAUAACAUUUGGAAACAGAUGCUAAUACCGCAUAAGAUUACAGUACCGCAUGAUACAGUGAUCAAAGGAGCAAUCCGCUGAAAGAUGGGCUCGCGUCCGAUUAGAUAGUUGGUGAGGUAACGGCUCACCAAGUCGACGAUCGGUAGCCGGACUGAGAGGUUGAACGGCCACAUUGGGACUGAGACACGGCCAGACUCCUACGGGAGGCAGCAGUGGGAACAUUGCACAAUGGGCGAAAGCCUGAUGCAGCAACGCCGCGUGAGGAAGACGGUUUUCGGAUUGUAAACCUCUGUUUUCGGUGACGAACAAAUGACGGUAACCGAGUAGGAAGCC